AGUGAACGCUGGCGGUAGGCCUAACACAUGCAAGUCGAACGGCAGCACAGUAAGAGCUUGCUCUUACGGGUGGCGAGUGGCGGACGGGCGAGGAAUACAUCGGAAUCUACUUUUUCGUGGGGGAUAACGUAGGGAAACUUACGCUAAUACCGCAUACGACCUACGGGUGAAAGCAGGGGAUCUUCGGACCUUGCGCGAUUGAAUGAGCCGAUGUCGGAUUAGCUAGUUGGCGGGGUAAAGGCCCACCAAGGCGACGAUCCGUAGCUGGUCUGAGAGGAUGAUCAGCCACACUGGAACUGAGACACGGUCCAGACUCCCACGGGAGGCAGCAGUGGGGAAUAUUGGACAAUGGGCGCAAGCCUGAUCCAGCCAUACCGCGUGGGUGAAGAAGGCCUUCGGGUUGUAAAGCCCUUUUGUUGGGAAAGAAAAGCAGCAGGUUAAUACCCCGCUGUUCUGACGGUACCCAAAGAAUAAGCACCGGCUAACUUCGUG
RNAcentral lists this ribosomal RNA (492 nucleotides) under uncultured bacterium. RNAcentral describes it as "partial 16S ribosomal RNA". It matches the Rfam family "Bacterial small subunit ribosomal RNA", at positions 29 to 507 of the family's 1533-position model. The record is from RNAcentral.